GCCUACGGGGCGCAGCAGUGGGGAAUAUUGUACAAUGGGGGAAACCCUGAUGCAGCGACGCCGUGUGAGUGAAGAAGUAUUUCGGUAUGUAAAGCUCUGUCAGCAGGGAAGAAAAUGACGGUACCUGACCAAGAAGCCCCGGCUAACUACGUGCCAGCAGCCGCGGUAAUACGUAGGGGGUAAGCGUUAUCCGGAUUUACUGGGUGUAAAGGGAGCGUAGACGGCGAUGCAAGUCUGAAGUGAAAGGCGGGGGCCCAACCCCUGGACUGCUUUGGAAACUGUAUGGCUGGAGUGCAGGAGAGGUG
This 305-nucleotide ribosomal RNA is filed under the name uncultured bacterium. RNAcentral's name for it is "bacterial SSU rRNA". It matches the Rfam family "Bacterial small subunit ribosomal RNA", at positions 337 to 659 of the family's 1533-position model. The record is from RNAcentral.